Molecule: transfer RNA, 109 nt
Filed under: Fusarium oxysporum
Lineage: Eukaryota; Fungi; Ascomycota; Sordariomycetes; Hypocreales; Nectriaceae
Also listed under: 3 other names
Description: tRNA-OTHER
Rfam family: tRNA
About the family: Transfer RNA (tRNA) molecules are approximately 80 nucleotides in length.
Source: RNAcentral
UCCGCUUUGGCGCAGUGGUGCGCGUACUGCGUUGCUACCCAUCCAGGGACCCCUUCGGGAGUCACCUCUCUACAGUAGUAAGGUCCAGGUUCGACUCCUGGGAGCGGAA